This is a long non-coding RNA of Sinocyclocheilus grahami, 3211 nucleotides long. RefSeq lists it as uncharacterized. The record is from RefSeq and is a predicted model, not a curated record. The transcript is spliced from 3 exons. Lineage: Eukaryota; Metazoa; Chordata; Actinopteri; Cypriniformes; Cyprinidae.
UAAAUUGUGGCAGUGUGGGAUGGGCUUCCCUUCUUUGGGUGGUGUCCCUUUAUGAGAGUGAGUAAUGAGGAUAAUUAAUGUCAGCAUAUUUAAAUGUCUGGGCAGGAAGCAUUAGAACAUAGCCUCUGUCAUACCCUUCAGUCCCUGUCUUCAGUGUCACCGUAGUUUAAGUAGGUGAUGGUUGAUUACGUGUGUAUUGUGUGUUUUAGUCUAUUAUAAUAAUGCUCGUUCUUGUUUUUAUAUCGGCAAGAUGUUGUUGCAGCCAUGCCUGUUAAGUCCUCGGUGAGCUGCGUCAAGUGAUCGUUGGAAGUUUUAGGUAUGCAGGCUGUUGUAUUAUGUUGAUUUUCGUUUAGUCUGAAGUGUUUCUUUUGUGUGUUUUUAGUGAAACAAUAUUUAUUAAGACAUCCUAUGCUUGUGUAGCUGCGGAUCGGAGUAUGUAUAAUGCAAUAUGUCGUUUUGGGUGUUUCUGAUUUAUUUAGUUUUUGCAGUCUUCUGCAGGCCAGUUGAUGACCAACUGCGGGUCGUGCUGCGGUUUUUCAUAGUUUGGUUUCUUGUGGUGUGAAAAUGGUGUUUGUGCUUUUCAAUUUGUUGUUUUUGUGUCUGUUUUGAGUGUGAUGGUCCGAGUUGAGCUGUUUAGGCCGAAUUGGUAGUGUCCAAAAACCUUAACCUAAUUAGUGGUUCUGGUUUAUUGCCAGUGAGGUAGGACGCUACGUUACUCCAUUAAUUGGCCUUUUUGGUUAGCUAUUUUUAUUUUCUUGAGUGAAUAUUUGUAUUUUUGCAUUUGUAUGCACUAAUGGUGGGGUUUUUUUUUUUUGGUUUUUUUUUCUCUUCUCCUAGUUUGGUCCAAGGCUGAGUGUGCCGAAGGAGAGGCUAGUCCCCUGGGUGAAGCACACAGUUGUGAGUCUGGAGCACCAGGGUUUGAGCACCUCUUCCUAUUGUUUGCUGUGCACAUGUUUGGCUGAGAGCACUGUUUUUCAGCUAGUUUGCCACCCCUAAGGUAAGCUCUAGCCUUGUUGCUUUUUUUUUUUUUUUUGUUGUGUAAGUUUGUUUAUAUUGGUUGGUGGGGAAGGUGCAAAGGUUUGUUAUACUUGGAUUGUUUUUUUGUAUUCUGAAUGUUUUUUAUUAUUUUUUUUUAAAUCUGGUGAGCCUGCACCCUGCCUAUUGGUUAUAUAUGUAUUUUCUAUCUCUCUUGUUUCCCCAUCAGUGGAUGUCAUUGUUUUUAUAAUCACUCUUUCUCGCUUUCGUGACAGAUGACUCUAACAUCGUCCAUUUGAAGCUAAUUGAACAAAAGAAAGAUCCUCUGGUGGUUCGAGUAUGGUGUACUGGUAUUUACCAAGAAUAAGGACAACUUUAUAAAGUCACAAUGGGAUCUCACCACGCAGCAGGUCUACAAAAAAUUUCUCACCAUGUACUUUUACUGUCUUAAUUUAUUUUUUGUCAUCUUUAUCAGAUUAAAAAAAUAAAGCCCUGCUUUACACUAAGUGUCAUUGGUGCAUAAGCACCAUGUUUGGUUUUGGUUUUGCCACCCACCAAAUAAGAGAUUUCAUGCAGAAGCAUUGCAUGUAGCAGGUGUUUUGGCUUGAAAGUGUGCAAUGUGAUUUUAUUUGGGUGGCAUAAUUUGUGUUACCGAUAAUUUUGCAUUUAUAUUAUUUUUCAUGAACAUUUUACUUUUUUUACACGGAUCUUACCCUUUGUAGAUGGGCAUUCACACAUUCGAAAGAUCUCAGCCGAGGCCAAUGAUGAGCUUCAUUUGGUUCGGAUUGCUGUUCAGAAUUUAUUGUAUUAUGAAGUGGUAACUCUGGUAUCCAUAUUCCAGUACUCAAAUGUUUACUGCACAACACCUAAAGUACAAAACUUAAUAGAUCAGAAGUGCCUUCAGGAAGAGUGUAUACAGCUAGGUAUAGUAAGCUAGGUAAGCAAGUUCAUCGAUUCCAAAUACAUGUUUUUUUUGCAACAUGUAUGAGUAGACACAGAAGACAUUUUACUGUAUAUCUCCAGGCCAAAGGACAAAUCUCAGGGAUGUUUUCAAGUUGUACUGUGGUCUCACCCCAGGUACGACUGUUCCCGCUAUUCUCACCAGUUACAGAGGGUGGAUGAAAGGCAAGGCCAUUUGAAUUUGAUUGUUGUUCACACUUGAAUACCCAUAAUUAACAUGCCAUUUGAGUGUUCUUAAACUACAGAAGAACAAUACUGUAAAGAUUUUACCUUAAGAAUGCUUUUGUGUCCUAUUGGCUUAUUUGGCUGUUGGUUAAAUGCUAGUGUGAUCUGUAAGAAAUUAAUAUUCUAUAUAAAAUAAUUAUUCUACUUUGAUAUUUUGUGUUGCUUUAGGAAGUUGAUUCAGUUUGGCUUGAUGAAAGGUUUGAUUCAGCGCCUACAGAAGUAUCCAGUCAAGGUUCUGAGAGAUGAGAGGAGUCGUCCACCCCAGACUUUUUACUGGCUACCAUAGUUAUGAUGAAAUCUGUUGCAAAACUGUCAAGUAUUGUCUAUAUGCAGUAUGUAUAUUUUUCACAAGAUUCCUUCAUUUUAACAAUUUUAAUGAAAGUGACAUUAUUCAUUGCCUGUGUUUUCAGGAAUGAGUUGGAUGAGCGCUUGGAGAAUGACCUAACUUUGUUGUUUGCUGGAAAUAAUGUUGCAGAGGCAGAAUUAUAUCUACAGACUAUUUCAGUGAAAUAACUUAUUUGAAACAUGAGAGAAACAGAUCUGGUCCAGGUGCUUUUGCAGUCUCAGGCUUUUGGUUCUGUACUUUUAUUUAUUGUAAACCAACUGCCAUUUAUGAAUAUGUGAAAGCGUUAUAGGUCAAAAUAUGAACACAAAUACUGAAAUGAUUUAAGAUGCAUAAAUGACUAAUAUUUCUACAUGAAAAGGUAGGUCACUGGUUUUGAAAUAAUUUAUGGGUGUAGUAUGGUCUAAUUCAGUAGUAUGUUUUACCACAGUUAAAAUAAAAAUACUUAUUUCUUACUCUGAGGGGGGGGGGGACUGGAAAACAUAGACAAGAUCACCCUGGUGAUCUAAAAAUCCAUGACUUUUAAAGUACCUUGUGCAUUUACUGUUUAAUUAGGCUUAGAAUUAACAAAAUACAUUUAUUAGAAGCUUAAAGUUUUUGCUUUUGCUUUCCUGAUCAUGUUUAAUCUGCAGCUGCACACAUUUGUGAUAACCAUUGCAAUUAGGUCCAUUUCUGUCACAGCAGUUGCAUCAAACAUCAUGGUUGUCC